CCUACGGGUGGCAGCAGUGAGGAAUAUUGGUCAAUGGGCGGAAGCCUGAACCAGCAACGCCGCGUGAAGGAAGAAGGCUUUCGGGUUGUAAACUUCUUUUGUCAGGGAAGAGUAGAAGACGGUACCUGACGAAUAAGCCACGGCUAACUACGUGCCAGCAGCCGCGGUAAUACGUAGGUGGCAAGCGUUGUCCGGAUUUACUGGGUGUAAGGGGCGUGUAGCCGGGUUGACAAGUCAGAUGUGAAAUCCUGCGGCUUAACCGCGGAACUGCAGUUGAAACUGUGGAUCUUGAGUACUGGAGAGGCAGACGGAAUUCCUGGUGUAGCGGUGAAAUGCGUAGAUAUUAGGAGGAACACCAGUGGCGAAGGCGGUAUGCUGGACAGCAACUGACGGUGAGGCGCGAAGGCGUGGGGAGCAAACAGGAUUAGAUACCCGUGUAGUC
Molecule: ribosomal RNA, 442 nt
Filed under: uncultured bacterium
Lineage: Bacteria
Description: partial 16S ribosomal RNA
Rfam family: Bacterial small subunit ribosomal RNA
Source: RNAcentral